This 881-nucleotide long non-coding RNA is filed under the name Erythranthe guttata (spotted monkey flower). RNAcentral describes it as "long non-coding RNA (EGUT_LNC001591)". Lineage: Eukaryota; Viridiplantae; Streptophyta; Magnoliopsida; Lamiales; Phrymaceae. The record is from RNAcentral.
CUUCAUCCCGCAACCAAUUCUUCCAUAAGCCCUCCGCUGCAUCACCACCACGGCCGCAUCACCACCACCACGUCCGCACCACUGCCGCAACCCAAUUCUUCCAUCGAGCCCUCCGCCGCCGCAUCACCACCACCACCGCCGCAUCACCACCACCACGGCCGCACCACCGCUGCAUCACCACCACCACGUCCGCACCACCGCCGCAUCACCAACACCACGGCCGCACCACCACCGCCGCAUCCCCACCUGCCUUCCCACCCCAAAAGAAAAUAUGCUUUAUGUUUGAUGGGUCUUUCGUAUCUCUUGUAAAUCAAGAUGUUGGAUCGAGUUACGUUUUGUGUGUGUGUGUAUUGCACUGGGGCUGUGUUUUUUGUUCUUGAAGUGCUUUUUUCUUCCGGCGGGUUUAGAUGGAGGAAGCAACUUUUGUUGUUUUUUCUUCUUUUGCAAAUGGCAGGUUAUGAAGAUGAAUCGGUGAUUUUUGUUUGUUUGUUUAUUUUUUUUUUUUUAUUUUUUUUUUAUUUGGCGUGCAGCAGAUCUGAAGGAGAGGGGAAGAAGAUGAUGAAGUUUUGAGAAAUUAAAUUGCAAUUUGGUUCUAUGCAAUUUGGCGAGAGGGCUUUUCUGAAAUUAGUGGGGAUUGAAUUGAAAAUUCUGAAAACUUCAUUUUAAGCUUAUGAAAAAUAUUUUGGGUAAAUUUAUAAAUUUCAAAAAUUGAUUUAAAGGGUAGGUCUUUCUAGUUCCUAAACACGAGGCCCAGUCGCACAAAGCGCGAGUGUAUAACACAUCGAGCUCGUAGGGUCUUUUUUGGCUUUGACUAUUUUUCACAGGGGGUUUUGUGCUAAUAUUUUUAACACGAGGGGUUUUUUAGCAAUUCGAGAUUACAC